Molecule: ribosomal RNA, 2251 nt
Filed under: human gut metagenome
Description: bacterial LSU rRNA
Rfam family: Bacterial large subunit ribosomal RNA
Source: RNAcentral
UCAAGCUAAAAAGAGCGCAGGGUGGAUGCCUUGGCACUAAGAGCCGAUGAAAGACGUGAUAAGCUGCGAUAAGCUACGGGGAGGAGCACAUAUCCAUUGAUCCGUAGAUUUCUGAAUGGGGAAACCCGGCUGAGCAUACCUCAGUCACCGUGCACUGAAUCCAUAGGUGUACGGAGGGAACCCGGUGAACUGAAACAUCUAAGUAGCCGGAGGAAGAGAAAGAAAACUCGAUUUUCAAAGUAGCGGCGAGCGAAAUGGAAAGAGCCCAAACCGGAGUGCGUGCACUCCGGGGUUCGGACUGCAUUUAUGACUUCUGACUGUAGCGGAACGGUUCUGGAAAGACCGGCCAGAGAGGGUGAGAGCCCCGUAGGCGAAACGGAAAGAAGCAGAGCAGGAUCCAGAGUACCACGAGACACGAGAAACCUUGUGGGAAUGAGCGGGGACCACCCCGUAAGGCUAAAUACUCCUUAGUGACCGAUAGAGCAGAGUACUGUGAAGGAAAGGUGAAAAGGACCCCGGGAGGGGAGUGAAAGAGAACCUGAAACCCUGUGUUUACAAACUGUGGAAGUACCAUACGAGUACAACCGCGUACUUUUUGUAGAACGGUCCGGCGAGUUACGUUUACUGGCGAGGUUAAGCACUUAAGGUGCGGAGCCGAAGGGAUACCAAGUCUUAACAGGGCGUAAAGUCAGUGUACGUAGACCCGAAACCGGGUGAUCUACCCAUGUCCAGGCUGAAGUUGCCGUAAAAGGCAAUGGAGGGCCGAACGCACAUCCGUUGAAAAGGGUGGCGAUGAGGUGUGGGUAGGGGAGAAAUUCCAAUCGAACCCGGAGAUAGCUGGUUCUCCUCGAAAUAGCUUUAGGGCUAGCCUCGUGUUAACCUUGUGGAGGUAGAGCACUGAAUAUCCUAGGGGGCGUCAAAGUCUACCGAAGAUUAUCAAACUCCGAAUGCCAUAAAGGUGAUGCACGGGAGUCAGACUGCACGAGAUAAGUUGGGUGGUCAAAAGGGAAAGAGCCCAGACCUACAGCUAAGGUCCCAAAGUGCGUGUUAAGUGGAAAAGGAUGUGGGAUUUCGAAGACAACUAGGAUGUUGGCUCAGAAGCAGCCAUACAUUCAAAGAGUGCGUAAUAGCUCACUAGUCGAGAGGUCCUGCGCCGAAAAUGUCCGGGGCUAAAACACGACACCGAAGCUGAGGAACAUGAAAAUGUUGGUAGAGGAGCAUUCUUAACGGAACGAAGCUGUACCGAAAGGAGCAGUGGACUGCUAAGAAGAGAGAAUGCCGGAAUGAGUAGCGAGAUGGAGGUGGGAAUCCUCCAGGCCGAAUAUCCAAGGUUUCCAGAGUAAAGCUGAUCUGCUCUGGGUAAGUCGGGGCCUAAGGCGAGGUCGAAAGACGUAGUCGAUGGACAACAGGUUGAGAUUCCUGUACUGCAAUGUAACAGAACUGUGGGGACACAGAGAGAAAGUGGGACCCGGGAGUGGAAAAACCGGGGCAAGCGGGGUACCGGAAUGACAGGCAAAUCCGUCAUUCAACGGGAAGACGUAAUGCGUACCGAAAUAAGAGUAGGGAAGUCCAUGAGCUAGCUGUCAAGAAAAGCCGCUAUUGUUUGCAUUGUACCCGUACCGUAAACCGACACAGGUGGAUGAGGAGAGAAUCCUAAGGCCGACGGAAGAAGUAUUGUUAAGGAACUCGGCAAAAUGACUCCGUAACUUCGGGAUAAGGAGUGCCAGGAAACUGGCCGCAGAGAAUUGGUCCAAGCAACUGUUUAGCAAAAACACAGGUUUAUGCAAAACCGUAAGGUGAAGUAUAUGAGCUGACGCCUGCCCGGUGCUGGAAGGUUAAGGGGAGUGCUUAGCGCUUGCGCGAAGGUGCGAACUUAAGCCCCAGUAAACGGCGGCCGUAACUAUAACGGUCCUAAGGUAGCGAAAUUCCUUGUCGGGUAAGUUCCGACCCGCACGAAAGGCGUAAUGAUUUGGACGCUGUCUCGACAAUACAUCCGGUGAAAUUGAAGUACCAGUGAAGAUGCUGGUUACCUGCGCCAGGACGGAAAGACCCCAUGGAGCUUUACUCUAGCUUGAUACUGGGAUUCGAUAUUGUAUGUACAGGAUAGGUGGGAGGCUGAGAACUCAUGACGCCAGUUGUGAGUGAGCCGCUGUUGGGAUACCACCCUUGCAGUAUUGGAUUUCUAACCUGCCGCCGUAAACCGGCGGGGGGACAAUGUCAGGUGGGGAGUUUGACUGGGGCGGUCGCCUCC